This 72-nucleotide transfer RNA is filed under the name Candidatus Omnitrophota bacterium. Its description in RNAcentral is "tRNA-Arg". It matches the Rfam family "tRNA". Rfam says of the family: Transfer RNA (tRNA) molecules are approximately 80 nucleotides in length. Their secondary structure includes four short double-helical elements and three loops (D, anti-codon, and T loops). The record is from RNAcentral. Lineage: Bacteria; Pseudomonadati; Candidatus Omnitrophota.
GCCCCUGUAGCUCAACGGAUAGAGCACAGGCCUCCGGAGCCUGGAAUACAGGUUCAAUUCCUGUCAGGGGCA